Molecule: long non-coding RNA, 2818 nt
Organism: Ostrinia nubilalis (European corn borer)
Lineage: Eukaryota; Metazoa; Arthropoda; Insecta; Lepidoptera; Crambidae
Exons: 4
Source: RefSeq, a predicted model, not a curated record
AAGCUUAUAUGUCAGAUAAAUAUGGGAGAGCAGGACAAAACAUUUUUUUUUGUCUCCGCUUGCGUAUCGGAUUUUUAUGUUUGCCACCAUUUGCUUUGGUGGCAGACAAUUGCGUGGUGUUUUGAUGUUUUUCAUCAAUUUAUAGUGAUUUCAUGUCAAAUAAAACAAUCAGAACAUUGUUCUACACAGUAUUUUGUGUGAUUUCGUUUGCAGUAAUGGUGAAUUGUUGUAUAAUUGGUUGUAAAAGCCGUAGUGAACGAAAAGAACCAAACAUAACCUUUCAUCGAUUCCCGAAUGAACCAAGUUUAAGAAAUAAAUGGACGGAGUGUACGGGCCGAGUACAUUGGCAUCCAAGUCAACAUUCUCGAAUAUGUUCCAGACAUUUUGAAUCCAGAUGCUUUCAGGCUAAGAAAAAAAGGCAUAUUUUUAAGGCAGUCUGCAAAACCUACACUUUUCAUUCAUGAUACUGUACCUCAACAUGAUCAACCAGGUUCAUCCAAAAAACCUUUGGAAAUAGAGAUACAAGCAUUUGAGUCUUUGACUCCAAAGAUAACUCCUCGUAAGAAAAAAUUAAUUAAGAAAUUGGAAAAAACAACAGCUGUUGGAGAAAAAAGAAAGAAGAAAUUAGCAGCUUUGCGAUCCAAAACCUGGCGUUUGCAGAAGAAAACGGCUGAAAUGUGUACAGUCAUACAGGAAUUAAAAACGCGUUCAUUGAUUAAUCAAGAGAGUGCAGAUUUAUUGUCUUCAAUAGAUGUUGUAAAUAGAGAUUUCUUGAAAAAGUUCUUAUGUAAAGAUAGUACUGCCAGAAAGUAUACUCCAGAGCUGCGGAAAUUCGCUUUAACUCUCCAUUAUAUAAGUCCAAAAGCUUACAAUUUUGUUCGGAAACAGUUCAACACCUGUUUGCCCCAUACGCGUACAUUGUCGCGAUGGUACCAGUGCGUUGAUGGGGAUCCUGGUUUUUCAUCUGAGUCUAUUAAAGCGGUAAAAAUAUUACAUGAAAUAAAUAAAAAUAAAAACCCAUUACAUAAAACUUUGUGCCUUAAGCUUUGAUGAGAUGGCAAUUAGGAAAGGGGUUAAUUUUGAUGGAAAUAACUGCAUAGGUUUUGUAAAUUUCGGGAAUGGAGUUGUAAGCGAUAAUGACCAGCUAGCCAAAGAUGCACUAGUUUUCAUGCUUACAUGCAUGAACGGAUCAUGGAAGAUACCAUUAGGAUAUUUUUUGAUAAACGGUAUAAGUGCUGAACAGAAAGCAGGUUUAAUAAAAGUUUGCAUUGAGACAUUAAGUCAAGACUGUGGGGUUGAUAUACUCUCAGUAACUUUUGAUGGUUGCGCCGCAAAUUUGUCGAUGGCAAAAAUUUUAGGGUGCAAAUUAGACAGCACCGACUUAAUUGACCCUACUUUUACUGUGGGCAACCAUAAAAUCGUAAUAUUCCCAGAUCCCUCGCACAUGCUCAAGUUAGUGAGAAAUACGCUAGGUGAAAAGGGGCCAAUCAUUGAUCCGCACGGCCGUGUUAUAUCCUGGGAGUAUGUAAGAUCACUUGUAGAACUUCAGGACAACGAAGGAUUACACUUGGGUAACAAAUUAAAUAAAUCUCAUAUCAAUUUCGUUAAACAAGUAAUGAAGGUGAAGCUGGCAGCUCAAGUCAUGAGUGAAUCCGUCGCAAAUGCGAUUGAGUUUUGCGAUACAGAGUUGAAUAUCACCACUUUUAAGAAUUCUGCAGGGACUGUUGAGUUUAUUCGAAAAAUGAAUAAUUUAUUUGAUGUGUUGAAUUCUAGAAAUCUUAAAGCAUAUACUUACAAAAAACCAUUAUCUCAGAAAAAUUUUCCCGAAAUCAAACAAUUUUUAGACGAGAUGGUUGUAUAUUUGACGAACUUAAAAUUAGGGGGUAUAAAUAUUAUGCAAUCCCAAAGAAAAACUGGAUUUAUGGGAUUUGUUAUUUGUAUUAAAAGCGUUGUUAAACUUUACGAAACUCAGGUGGUAAAUAAUAACCUCCAAUUUCUGAGCACAUACAAAAUGAGUCAGGACCAUCUAGAGUAUUUUUUUAGUGCCAUCAGGGCUAAAGGAGGAUUUAACAACAAUCCAUCUGCACAACAGUUUAAAUCUGCCUUUAAGAGGAUGUUAGUACAUGGAGAAAUUAAACAUAUAACGUCAGGAAACUGUAUUCCUCUCGAACAUAUAAACAUUUUAACGCUAACGAAACCUGAAUUAGCAAUAAAUAAAACAUCUGAGAAAAAUAGAUUAAUUGAUAAUGAACCUGUAAAUACAGAAAUGGUUGAAAAUAUAUUAAUGAAAGAUCACGACUAUUUAACAGACCCAAGUAUUUUGACUGAAUUUUCUAAACAUAUAAUUAUAUACAUAGCUGGUUUUGUUGUAAGCAAACUGAAAAAAGAACUUAACUGUGAGGAAUGUGUGUCAGCUAUAGUAUGUAAUACUAAAUAUGUUAGCCUACAAUUGAAAAAAGACAAAGGCGGACUGUGUUAUCCUACAGUAGAUGUCAUAAAAAUAUGCGAAAUUUGUGAAAUUAUAUUUCGUAGGAAUAAAGGAUUUUAUAAAAAAAAUCAUUUAAUAGAGCUAAUGCAAGAAAGUCUUAAAUACUGUUUAGGAUAUCCUUUUUUCUCCAAGACUUCACAUUUUAAACAACAAACAUUUCUUGACUGUCACUAUUCGCUCUUAGUUAAAGCCAUAAGUUUAAAGUAUCUGAAAGUUCGAAUACAUUAUGCAGCUAAAAAGCUUUCAGAAAAGUCUGACAUCGUCAGGAAUUUUUAUAACAAAUUAAUUUUGUUUAAGGGUCAGUGAUACUGAUUAAAGUAUUAUAUUAAA